Molecule: ribosomal RNA, 441 nt
Filed under: uncultured bacterium
Lineage: Bacteria
Description: partial 16S ribosomal RNA
Rfam family: Bacterial small subunit ribosomal RNA
Source: RNAcentral
CCUACGGGUGGCAGCAGUAGGGAAUCUUGCGCAAUGGGCGAAAGCCUGACGCAGCAACGCCGCGUGAUUGAUUAAGCCCUUCGGGGUGUAAAGAUCUGUCAGUGGGGACGAAAAUUUACGGUACCCACAAAUGAAGCACCGGCUAACUCCGUGCCAGCAGCCGCGGUAAUACGGAGGGUGCAAGCGUUGUCCGGAAUCAUUGGGCGGAAAGGGUUAGUAGGUGGUAUAUUAAGUCUGGUGUUAAAUGCAGAAGCUUAACUUUUGUGCGGCACUUGAUACUGGUAAGCUUGAAUGUGGUAGAGGUAAAGGGAAUUCCUGGUGUAGCGGUGAAAUGCGUAGAGAUCAGGAGGAACAUCGGGGGCGAAGGCGCUUUACUGGGCCGUAAUUGACACUGAGGAACGAAAGCCGGGGUAGCAAAUGGGAUUAGAUACCCGAGUAGUC